Molecule: long non-coding RNA, 392 nt
Filed under: Mustela putorius furo (domestic ferret)
Lineage: Eukaryota; Metazoa; Chordata; Mammalia; Carnivora; Mustelidae
Description: lncRNA (ENSMPUG00000030657.1)
Source: RNAcentral
UGUUAACUCAUUUAGCUCCCUGCACUUUUUAUUUUGUAAAGAUUUUAUUUACUUAUUUGUCAGAGAGAGAGAGAGCGAGCCAGCACAGGCAGGGGAAGCAGCAGGCUCCUCGCUGAGCAAGGAACCUGGGACUCCAUCCCAGGACCCUGGGAUUAUGACCUGAGCCAAAGGCCGACACUUAUCCAAUUGAGCCACCCAGAUAUCCCCAGUUUCCUGAUACUCCUAUGAGAAAAGUUUAUUUUACAGAUGAGAAAACCAAGAGAGCCAGUGUAUGCAAGGGUGAGGAGGGGCAGAGGAUGAAGGAGAGAGAAAAUGUCAAACAGGGCUUAAUCUCAUGCCUCUGAGUCAUGACCUGAGCCAAAAUGAAGAGUUGGGCACUCAAUCGAGUGAGC